RNAcentral lists this ribosomal RNA (497 nucleotides) under uncultured bacterium. RNAcentral's name for it is "partial 16S ribosomal RNA". It matches the Rfam family "Bacterial small subunit ribosomal RNA", at positions 28 to 507 of the family's 1533-position model. The record is from RNAcentral.
GAUGAACGCUGGCGGCGUGCCUAACACAUGCAAGUCGAGCGAACAGACGAGGAUCUUGCUCCUCUGACGUUAGCGGCGGACGGGUGAGUAACACGUGGAUAACCACCCUAUAAGACUGGGAUAACUUCGGGAAACCGGAGCUAAUACCGGGUAAUAUAUUGAACCGCAUGGUUCAGUAGGGAAAGACGGUUUUGCUGGCACUUGUAGAUGGUUCCGCGCCGCAUGAGCGAGUUGGUAAGGUAACGGCUUGCCAAGGGGCCGAGGCGUAGCCGACCUGUGAGAGUGUUCGCCGACACUGGGACUGAGCCACGGUCCAGACUCCUACGGGAGGCAGAAGUAGGGAAUCUUCCGCACAAGGGGCAAGCCUGACGUAGCAACGCGGCGUGUGUGGGGAAGGUCCUCGGGGCGUGAGACCCUGUUACGAGGGAAGAACAAAUGCGUAAGUAACUGUGGACGUCGUGACGGUACCUAAUCAGAAAGCCCCGGCUAACUACGUG